CCCUUAGAUGUCCUGGGCCGCACGCGCGCUACACUGACGGAGCCAGCGAGCUUACCCCUUUGCCGAAAGGCAUGGGAAAUCUUUUGAAUCUCCGUCGUGCUGGGGAUAGAUCAUUGCAAUUAUUGAUCUUGAACGAGGAAUUCCUAGUAAGCGCAAGUCAUCAACUUGCGUUGAUUACGUCCCUGCCCUUUGUACACACCGCCCGUCGCUCCUACCGAUUGAGUGUGUUGGUGAGGAGUUUGGAUUGGCCUCGGAAGGUGGUUCGCCACCGUCCGUAGCUGAGAAGUUCUCCAAACCGCCCCACUUAGAGGAAGGAGAAGUCGUAACA
RNAcentral lists this ribosomal RNA (328 nucleotides) under uncultured eukaryote. Its description in RNAcentral is "partial 18S ribosomal RNA". It matches the Rfam family "Eukaryotic small subunit ribosomal RNA", at positions 1470 to 1796 of the family's 1831-position model. The record is from RNAcentral.